Molecule: long non-coding RNA, 949 nt
Filed under: Nicotiana tabacum (common tobacco)
Lineage: Eukaryota; Viridiplantae; Streptophyta; Magnoliopsida; Solanales; Solanaceae
Description: long non-coding RNA (NTAB_LNC007466)
Source: RNAcentral
GCAAGGACAACAUCAUACUACAACAGCUUCACUUAAUUUGCAGCUUCGUCUAAUAGCUCCAUUAUUUAAGGAAUUCCUUACUUCAAGUGACCCUGUUAAAUCAAUUCAAUAUAAGAAAAUGAAAAUCAAAUAACAUUUCGAGAGAGAUAAAAACAAUGUAGAACCCACACAUAGUUUUUUUUAUUUUUUUAUUAUAAGGAACCCCACAUAGUUUUUAUCAUAUUCCUUUAGGAAAUUCUAUGAGAAUCUAUCCCUUUUUUUAAGUAAGGAAUCUAUCACCUUUCUUUUUUUUUAGGAGGAGAAUCUAUCAUCUUUUAUGAUAUUCUUUUUCUGUUUUUUCCACUUGAUUUGCAGCAAGGGGAGCUAUAUUAAAAACUGAAUUUGAGCAAAAUGUGAGCUUUCUAUGUAAAUUGGUGUUUCAUGAGCAAAUGUUCAAGCGAAAAUGUGGAUCACCUCCUCCUACGUUGUCCAAUGGAAACUAGCUUCUUCUUGGAAUAUUGAGAUGGUUCUGGAUGCUUGGCUGAUGUAGGGCUUGGUGAAUGAGGCACUCCCCAGCAGGAAAUCCAAAAGAAAGAACAGAAGUCAGAGAGCUUGGGAUGUUGCCCCACUAGCACUCAUGUAGGUCUAGUGGAAGGAAAGAAAUAGGAGAGCUUUUGAUGGGACUGAGAACGAUGAUGUACAUCUGAGAAAUAGCCUGUUAUUCCUAGUUUCUUUUAAGUGCACCCAUAAGUUCCAACUUUAUAGAAGAUUGGGUGCUGUCACCUUCACUAAGUUCCGUUUUUUUUAAAAAAAUAAAUAAAUAAAUUAGAAACUGAGCAUUUUAUUCAUCUCCAAAAAAGGGUACAUUGAGCUGAGGAAGUUAAAAUACGAUAUCUCCUCCCUAGUUCAUCUUGUAAGAUAGAAUCAACUAUCUUAUAACAUUCUGAUAUGAGGUAAAUGCAUUUGGAAG